This 138-nucleotide small nucleolar RNA is filed under the name Kryptolebias marmoratus (mangrove rivulus). Its description in RNAcentral is "Small nucleolar RNA SNORA8 (ENSKMAG00000009554.1)". It matches the Rfam family "Small nucleolar RNA SNORA8". Rfam says of the family: ACA8 is a member of the H/ACA class of snoRNA that guide the sites of modification of uridines to pseudouridines. Lineage: Eukaryota; Metazoa; Chordata; Actinopteri; Cyprinodontiformes; Rivulidae. The record is from Rfam by way of RNAcentral.
AGCACUGUGUGGUAUCUGCAGCCCGCUGCACCAUCAGCUGGUUUGUUCAUAAGUCAGUGCUAAAGGAAGUCAGCAUCUGGCAUCGUUGGUCUCCAGGCGGUUCGUGCCUGGAGUCCUGGUGAUGUUGCUGAAACACGU